CCUACGGGAGGCUGCAGUGGGGAAUAUUGGACAAUGGGCGAAAGCCUGAUCCAGCCAUGCCGCGUGUGUGAAGAAGGCCUUCGGGUUGUAAAGCACUUUCAGUGGGGAAGAAAGCCUUGGGGCUAAUACCCUCGAGGAAGGACAUCACCCACAGAAGAAGCACCGGCUAACUCCGUGCCAGCAGCCGCGGUAAUACGGAGGGUGCGAGCGUUAAUCGGAAUUACUGGGCGUAAAGCGCGCGUAGGCGGUCUGAUAAGCCGGUUGUGAAAGCCCCGGGCUCAACCUGGGAACGGCAUCCGGAACUGUCAGGCUAGAGUGCAGGAGAGGAAGGUAGAAUUCCCGGUGUAGCGGUGAAAUGCGUAGAGAUCGGGAGGAAUACCAGUGGCGAAGGCGGCCUUCUGGACUGACACUGACGCUGAGGUGCGAAAGCGUGGGUAGCAAACAGGAUUACAUACCCCGGUAGUC
This 465-nucleotide ribosomal RNA is filed under the name Vreelandella stevensii. RNAcentral's name for it is "partial 16S ribosomal RNA". It matches the Rfam family "Bacterial small subunit ribosomal RNA", at positions 338 to 795 of the family's 1533-position model. The record is from RNAcentral. Lineage: Bacteria; Pseudomonadati; Pseudomonadota; Gammaproteobacteria; Oceanospirillales; Halomonadaceae.